Gallus gallus (chicken) is the source of this 1237-nucleotide long non-coding RNA. The record is from Ensembl. NCBI's taxonomy places the organism in Eukaryota, Metazoa, Chordata, Aves, Galliformes, Phasianidae.
UCUUGUGGCAGAGAUGUUUAUAAACCUUCACCCAUCUGGAAGCCAUUAUCUCCAAAUAAAGUUUAUUUGAAGAAAUUGUAUUAAAUGAUUACAUGUUAUUUUUACCUCGGCUAGAAAGCAAACUGCUCUACCAUUGCUGAGAGGUUCUCUUUGGUCCAGACUUGUUUUAAUAUUUUAUCCAGACUAUCAGCAUCAGGGCAUGGCAGCUCAUUUGGCUGUUUUGCUAUAGCUGUCUGGUGGUCAGACAUAAUUUAUUAAGAGUUUGACUCUUUAUUUAGGUUUAUUUGUUACAGUUUCUCUUCUCCAUCUUCUGUUAGGUCUGUCCAUUGCCCGUCUAAGUUGUCUCUUUAUUUACUUUCUGCAUUUUGCAGCAAAAAUUCAAAAUACAUAUUGAAGUCCAGAAAGGAGAGAGAAGAAAGCAGAUAAAAAAUAUCCCAGACUGGUUGCCAAACCGUUGUCACUUGUGUUGUGUACAGGGAAAAAGCUGGACAAGACAGUUGCAGGGCUGACUCCACUCCUAGUACAAAGAAAAUUAAAAAGCCAUGAAGGGCUAAAGCAGAACAGUAACCAUCAGCAAAUGCACAGAGUGGCAAUCCAGAGGUGAACUUCAAGGAUCGUGCAAUCUUACUGCAGAUCUUCAAGCUACGGAUUGGGAGCCAAGCGAAAAGCAAGCCAGAUGACUUCAGCCCAGAACGCCCUGCAAAAAGGAACCCUUGUGAAGUGCCUCUGAUCCGCAGUUCCCACACAGCACCACAGUUUGAUCCUCUCUUAUUCAUCCACCCCAGCCACAGGAGGGUCCUCAGUUGGGAAGAUGUACCAUCACAUGAGCACAAAAUACAAUACCCCAUCUCUACCCACCAACACAUACUGGAAAUGAAGAUGAGCCACUGAGGCUUUGGUGUUGCAUGGCAAAGCCAAGUAACUGAGGUAGCAACUCUUCCACCUUGGACAGAAGAGCAGCAGUUAUCCCAAGGUAGCAUCCACCUGCCUGUCUAACUCCUAUGCCUGAGCUGGACUACAGGAUAUGAAUCCCACUCCUGCUCUGCUUUCUGUCUUCUUCCCAUGCAAAACGUACGCACACUGCAUCCGUUCAAAGACGUGAGCAGCAAGGAAGACCCGUCCACACUUCUCUCAGCAUCCCUGGAAAGGCCAUGCACAUUAGGAGGAAACCUAUAGAGUCACAGAGCCACAGAAUCGUUUAGAUUGGAAGGGAUCUCUAAAGGCCAUCUGGUCCAAC